RNAcentral lists this ribosomal RNA (510 nucleotides) under uncultured bacterium. RNAcentral describes it as "bacterial SSU rRNA". It matches the Rfam family "Bacterial small subunit ribosomal RNA", at positions 17 to 518 of the family's 1533-position model. The record is from RNAcentral.
UCCUGGCUUAGGAUGAACGCUAGCGGCAGGCUUAACACAUGCAAGUCGAGGGGCAGCGGGAUGUAGCAAUACAUUGCCGGCGACCGGCGGAUGGGUGCGUAACGCGUAUGCAACCUACCUUAUACAGGGGAAUAACCUUUCGAAAGGGAGACUAACACCCCAUGGUAUUGAUUUAAGGCAUCUUAGAUUAAUUAAAUAUUUAUAGGUAUAAGAUGGGCAUGCGUAUGAUUAGCUAGUUGGUAAGGUAACGGCUUACCAAGGCGACGAUCAUUAGGGGUUCUGAGAGGAAGGUCCCCCCACACUGGUACUGAGACACGGACCAGACUCCUACGGGAGGCAGCAGUGAGGAAUAUUGGUCAAUGGGCGCAAGCCUGAACCAGCCAUGCCGCGUGCAGGAAAGACGGCCUUAUGGGUUGUAAACUGCUUUUACAUAAGACUAACCGUAUAUUUGCGAAUAUACCUGAAUGUAUUAUGAGAAUAAGGAUCGGCUAACUCCGUGCCAGCAGCCGC